UAAUAAUAAUAAUAAUAAUAAUAAUAAUAAUAAUAAUAAUAAUAAUAAUAAAUGAAAUUUCAGAAUUCUUCUUGAAGAAAUACCUGACGAUCACAUGCCUAGGUGGCAUGUGGGAUUCACCCCAGAUUAAAAUUUGUUUUUUAUCACAUAUUCAUGUUUGGAAAAGUAUCAAAAGUCAAAUGGUGGUGGUCCUGUUAGAAACCGAUGGCGCCCUGCAUGG
RNAcentral lists this long non-coding RNA (220 nucleotides) under Elaeis guineensis (African oil palm). RNAcentral describes it as "long non-coding RNA (EGUI_LNC032520)". The record is from RNAcentral. Lineage: Eukaryota; Viridiplantae; Streptophyta; Magnoliopsida; Arecales; Arecaceae.